RNAcentral lists this ribosomal RNA (433 nucleotides) under uncultured bacterium. RNAcentral's name for it is "partial 16S ribosomal RNA". It matches the Rfam family "Bacterial small subunit ribosomal RNA", at positions 29 to 507 of the family's 1533-position model. The record is from RNAcentral.
AACGAACGCUGGCGGCAGGCCUAACACAUGCAAGUCGAGCGAGGACUUCGGUUCUAGCGGCGGACGGGUGAGUAACGCGUGGGAAUGUGCCCUUCUCUACGGAAUAGCCCUGGGAAACUGGGAGUAAUACCGUAUACGCCCUAUUGGGGAAAGAUUUAUCGGAGAAGGAUCAGCCCGCGUUGGAUUAGGUAGUUGGUGGGGUAAUGGCCUACCAAGCCGACGAUCCAUAGCUGGUUUGAGAGGAUGAUCAGCCACACUGGGACUGAGACACGGCCCAGACUCCUACGGGAGACAGCAGUGGGGAAUCUUAGACAAUGGGGGCAACCCUGAUCUAGCCAUGCCGCGUGAGUGAUGAAGGCCUUAGGGUUGUAAAGCUCUUUCAGCUGGGAAGAUAAUGACGGUACCAGCAGAAGAAGCCCCGGCUAACUCCGUG